RNAcentral lists this long non-coding RNA (257 nucleotides) under Lathyrus oleraceus (garden pea). RNAcentral describes it as "Pisum sativum (pea) long non-coding RNA (PSAT_LNC007642)". The record is from RNAcentral. Lineage: Eukaryota; Viridiplantae; Streptophyta; Magnoliopsida; Fabales; Fabaceae.
CAGAACCUCACAACCUCUACCCAAAUUUAAUCUCGCCCAUACAUCCCUACCUAUAUCCGAAGCUGAAGAACUCAAUCAAACCACCUCUUCAUCUUCAGCCCCAGAAUCACCUCCCUACCUUAUCCUCUCCUCUGACCCAGAACCUUCUGACCCCGCUUCUCCCACUCUAGCCCACCUCUAUUCUCUAAACCAUAACACACAACAACCACAACAACCUCCACCAGAACCUGCAGUAACUUCACCACCCCCAGAACAAC